UUUGGCGUCAGUUAAGAAUUUUUAAUUGACUCACCAUAUGGGAAAGGAUUGAAAAUGUAUCAGUAUCUUUUAUUGAUCGUUCGAAUAGUUUGUAAAAUUAUAGAGACAUGUGAUUUUUUAAUAUGUUUCUGACGUAUUUUUGUUUUAUCCAAAAAUAAUUAGAUAAUACAGCCGAAAUGACCAAAUAACUGCUGUAUAAUUAUCGAUAUUAAGUUGAGACGUUGUAGAUCUGUGGUAAAAACUUUUUUUUAUUGAAAUAUAUAAAUCUGAGAUCCUUUCUUGUAUCAGUCAAACCAAUUAUCCAAAUUUUCUAUUGACUUGGCUCUCGUUGCCAUUUAUCACAUACAUAACUGGCCCGAGCCAUUAAAGCUCCCUUUACUUUGAUUCGAAAUGUCGAAAGUAUUAGUCUAUAAGAUAAGAUUCUUCUCUUAAUUUUAGUUUAAAAAUUCAAUGUAGAAGUUUAUUUAUUUGAUUACUACCGGGCACCUAAAACUGUCAUCUUUGCGUAUUUGGCAGUUCCAUGCAUAGCUGUCACUUUUGCGCAAUGGGGAUGAGACUCCAUUCUGGAGAAACGUCAAAUUCGAUAUCUGCUUCACUUGUAAACAAAAUCCAAAGCUUUUCAUCACGAUUGGUAUUUGCGCGCCAAUUUAUGUAAUUUAUUUUGGAUAAAAUAGUGAAUUUUAACUCCCAACGAAGUGUGGUAAGUAUGUUUUGCAGUCCUUCUGUUCUGCUCACAUUAUUACUAAGCUGUAGAGCGGCCGAAACGAUAUUAUUUUAAGCUUACAUAUUGUCAAUGCUAUUCUUUCGCCUUCCACGAGUUUCCGCUCGAUGAUUCUAUUGAAUGAGUAUGGUGGAGUAAAGGAACUGUUAGAAACACGUUUUUGAUUAAAUUUUAAAGUAAACCUUAGUUACGAUCAUAGGAUGAAAUACGGAACUUGUAAUGGUUCAAAUUCCGGGAUGACGUGACAAGCCAACUGAACCUCCUAGUAUUUGGAAUCGAAUUAGUCGCCCCAACGGCUGGAAGUAGCUGGCAUUUGUUAUACUGGAUUUGAUGGAGUCGUCCAUUUCACCUAAACUACUGCAACUUACUGGUUGUUGUUCUAGUUUCUAUCGCAAAGUAAUGCGGCCUGGCGUUCUACAUUAAUAUUUUUUCUUCAUGAAUAACUCAAGAGGCACAGGUGCAAAGAAGCACGCAUGUUACGCAGCGCCUGUCAUAGUGCUACACAUACACGUGGUCUGUUAGCACUAAUACCAUCACCACCACCGUUUAUCCGGCAAACCGGUAGACUUAAGUCACAACGCAGCAGGUGAAAAAGAUGCGUACAAAACCCCAUCAGCAGGGGAACGAACUAACGCAGGCAUAAUUAUGCAAAGUACUCUUUCUUCCAUCCCUUUCGCACAAACAUCGAACCUCAGUACAGUCGGAAAGGUUAUGCUCCACGGCUCUUUGAGCAAGCUUUCCCGCGAUUGCUGGGCUUUACGCAUCGCGGACGAACGUUCGAAAGAGAGAUCCGAAGUCGCUGUGGAGCGUUCGUGGGGCCUCUCGCGUCCAUAUACAUUCAGUCGAACACCAUACAACGCUCGGAGUACGAUUGAAGAUCUCGAUCAGUGCGGAUCGUAGUUUCGCUGGUCGAGCAACAUAGAAGGAACGGAUGCUAGAGCUGUUUGUACAGUGCUUAGUGUGCAGCCGGUGCGUGUGGACACUAUCGAACUAUUCGACAAAAUUAAAAGAACAAACUCAGUGUGAACUUGUGCCUAUCGUACCGAUACUGCCAGUAGAGAGGUUUGGUUUCAACUCAAUAUCGUUGACGUCAAAAUGCUGAUACGUCAGCACGCACACUUCAGGCCUCCAGAACGUAGUGUUUAAUGUAAGUUGUGUUCGUCGCUAAGGCCGGUCCGAUUUUUUUUUGUGGCACUGCUGUGUGGUCGCUCCAGUUUACUCAACUUUACUGCUGUGUCACCAAUGUGCGCCCGCUCCAAGUCACCGUGGGACGCAAAAAUUGUCGAUAAAACCCGCAUGCGCGAUGACGAACGCACACCGAUGGCAACAGUUUAUUUGCUUAAAAGCAACACCUCACCAGCGCAAUGUGGAAGGUAAUUAUACUGCUUUGAACUUGUACGUAGUGCCGGGUCACACGGAACGAACGGAAUAGUAGAACGUUAAUGUUGCGUAUUGAAACGUGUUGAGCCAUUUUAUUCGAUGAAAUUGGCGUAAAAUGGUUCCCGGCAUUGCACUAAAAUUGAAAUGAACAAGUGUGUGUAAGACUGGCUAUGUAUAAUGGUUUACAAAUAAUUACUUGCUAUUUGCUUUUUUUUGUAUAAAAAUGCUUAAGCAAGUGUUAGUGGCAGUGAAACCGGAAAGGGUUAUAUUUCACAAUGCUAUUCGGAUAUUGAGGAGUUUAUUACUAUGACAUCAACUAUUUUCUUUAGCACUGUUCAACGAUGAUCACAUUCUCAGUAGGAGGUUGGUCUCGUGUAUCGUGGAACAUGAUGAAGUUAUAUUGUUAAGAAAAAAACUCUCGUAAAAUAAGUAGCUUGAGUCAUUAAAAGAGCAACAAAAAAUCUUUUGGUGUAGGAAAACUUGAUAAUUUCACCCAAAAAAAAAAAGACAAAAAAGAUUUAAAAGUCCAAUAUUUAAAAAAGAUAUAACAAAACUGAUUAACCAAAAUAAUUCAACUAAAUAAACUAAACACACUAACAGAGCUUUUUUAACAAUUAAUCAUUCCUAGUGAUAAGAGAACUUUUAAAAACUAAGACAGAAGAACCAACCCUUAUCGAAUUCAGUUGAUGAAUACAGCGUUUCUAAAGAGAAGAUGCGUUCAAUAAGCUAAACUGCAAUAUUUAUUACUCCAUGAAUACCAACAUUGUGACACAUCGAGCAAUAUAGCACGUUGUGCUACUUAAAAAUUUAAAGUAACUAAUAAUUAAUUUCGCAAUAGCUGCAUGUUUUGCGUUAAACCAUUAAUCAACUAAUUGCACGUUUACUACUACUGUGUGUUACUACCUACUAGCAUGUUUACUUACCAAAACGAAAGACACUAACACUAACGGAAAGGAACCGAAAGUUCUAUGCAUGUAUGUUUUUACCGCAUCGAUAUGCGUGAUAAAUGGGAUCGAGUGAAAAAAGAAAAGAAAAACGUACCGACGAUGGAUACGUUAGAUCAUCACAUAUCGAAACGAAUGGUAAAAUGUAUUGAAAAAUGCUACAAAUACUAAGAUCGCGCAUCUUUACCUGAAGGGUGUGAACGAUGUUGAUUUACGAUAUUUGUCACAGGUUAGGAACGGACGUAAAUAGCACCUAAAGAGCUUCAAUAUAAUUCUAAGUUAGCGACGCCAGAGAAAACGCCCGUACCGGCAUUGUAGGCAGUUUUUAAACGUGCGUAGCUUUUAGGAUCUUUGGUUAGCAAAUGCCAAAGCAAACAUUGACACCUACACCGUAUUGGAACCGCCUCCGUAUUUUUUUUUUGGAAGCGAAAGCUUAACGAUCUAUCGUCGGCGUUGAUGAUGUAUGUGGUUGAUCGUACCAAAAGCAUGAGUCACAUAUCCACAAAAAAUGAGGAACGUAGUUGUUGCUACAAACAUAUGUGUAUAGGCAUACACGAAAGCCAUAGUUUGAACAUUUUUUUAUUUCAAUUCUUUAAGCUCAUAAUGUACGAUCCCGAAAAAGCCGAUCAAACGUAGCCCGUAAUUAAUUAACAUCUUGAGCAAAAGGUUUUGACUAAUUACGAAAAACAAGUUGUUGUUCGAGAAGAGCUAGGGAAAGAUUGCAAAUCAUUCCAAUGUACCUUAAGAAGUACCCUCAGAGUAACUUUCCUGUACGGUCGGAUCCAGUGGAAUGGACCUCCAUUACCUUCUACUGAGCUUAAUUGAUGCCUACCAUUGAGUCCAAAGCUAAUUAGAGCGUUGCUUUUCGAUUGCCGAUUUUUCGGAGAUUAUCUUAUUUUUAAGUUUUCAAUUGGACAACUUUGGAAGGGGAACAGACGGCUACCGGCACUGAAAAUGUAUCUUUAUUAUACGUUAUACAAACAACUUCCCAAUAGGGAGAACAUUCCUCUCGGAACAUGCAGUGAACAUUGUUUUGCUGAGGAGUUUCUCGUAGCGCAUUAAUUAUGUGCUAACUGUAAUAUGACAAGGUUCGAUUUUAACAUACUUUAUCGCCCAAGCUGCACGAUCGAUGAUCAACGAUCCGUUUCCUGUUUCGUUUCUGAAUUAAUUUGAACAUAUUAAACGCACCCCAAACGGGUGUGAGUAUCCGUGCGUAAGCUUAACUCGAUUAGGCUUAAUUUUACAACCUCUCCACCGGACAGUUCACUUUACUUUUCAAACUUUCCAAUCCAGUAAGGCUUAUUUUUUCAGCCCAUCAGAAUCAGCGCCACGGUAACAACGAGCCCGUAAACAGAACCGUGGGAUUUCUGUGGCUUUUUCACUGCGAUGAAGAACGAAUGAUAAACGCUUUGGAGUUUUUUUGGCUUUCGAAGAAUGAGGAGUAAAAAUCGUUUCCACAUCAGGGUGUGGGGAUUGAAGAUCGUUUCAGCACAUCCCGGUUGUGUGUAGCACAAUUUUAUGACCGCAAGGUAAUGAGAAAAGGAAAACCUUUAAUCCCCCCAAACCCGCUGGAAAGGAAACUGAACAUAAAAAAUGGAAGCAAAAAACCCCAGAAGCGAUAAACGUCGUAAAGCAGUUGAGUGUUAGUUACCGAAUCGAUUUACGAUCGGUUCACUGAUACAAUGAAUCGUCGGCCCUACUAGACAUCCAAGGAUCGACGAUCACCGGGAGCACAUCCGUCACAAGAUGUGACGGUUGUAUGUAUCGAUCUUGGAAGCCAACAGGCUUGGAUGACUUCAUUUGGUCUUUACGAUUAUCGAUCAGAAGUUUAAAGCUGCGAUUACACACAAAAACAGGCCAGUGGAUCCCUGCGACCUACAAAAACAUGCGUUUGUCGAUGAUCCAUUUAAAAAUGGGACCAUGGUGGUCGUCGAGACUGGUGUUUGUGUUGUAACGUUUUUUUUUGUUGUACUUUUCCUCUGCAUCCUUAAACGUUAUUUGGCUGCCCGAAGUAAAUGCGGACCUCAGGUGACUUGUACAUCGCCAGCGGGCUGGCGGUCCCUUUAAUUAGUCUGCUUCUUCCAGCUCUGUUGCCGCCAAACUUUAUCCCUUUAGCGAAGGAACGUAAUAAGAAAUACGGAGGGUUAGUGUGUGCAUGCACGCGGUCAACUUUAGUACGGAAUAACUUGCGUUCUCUCGGUCAUCUGUCGCGAGGUAUGUUCAAAAAGGUUUUGGUUUCUACAUCAAAGGAAUACAAAAACAAAAUAUUCCGCAAAAGUGAGCUGGCACUUUCUGAACUAAAAGGACAACUUCAUACGAAGCACCAUGGUUUUGUGCAGGCAAACGUAACAUUUGUCCCAACAGGAACAAGAGCAUAAACAGCAUAACAAGCGCAUAAUUAUACAACAUCCUUCCGCAUAUGAAAAACAUCCCAUGCUCCUAUGGCUGAUCCAGCAACGGUACGCUAGGAAUAGCACCGUUGUUUGAUGGCAGAGAGUGGCAAGAAUUUUUACCGCCAAUUGGUCAUUAUCAUUCAUUUCCCGUUUUCAAUGUUUUUCGGGAAAGAAAACAACUUUUUUUUUCAAGCGAUCGUCAAAGAAGAAUCCCUUCGGAAAGUGAAAAGGACGAGAUCGCGCCAAGACAGACAAAUGCAGUCAUUCGGGUGUUUGUGCACCCGGCGUUCAACCACCUGUUGAUGUCAAAGUUAGGGUAAAGUUUCGUCGGUAGGCACAUGUGCUUACUUCAACGGUUGACUGUUGCGUAUGAGCCUCCGUGUCUCAUACGUGUUGUUUUCCAGCUGCGAAAAAAUGCAGCAGCGUCCCUCGUAUAAUCCAAAACAUAAUUCACUUUAUACUGAACAUGCGUCGUACAGCUGUCCUUGAAGUCGUUCGAUCAUUGGUUUUACUUUUAUUUAAGGAAUUUUUGUUAUUUUACUACUCCAACUAAAUCUAAAUGCCUUGUUAGUAGCAUUAUUUUUAUAGUUUAUAAUAAAACUGAAAUAAUUGAUUUUUUUGUCAUUGCCACUUGCCUGUGUUACCAAUUGAAAGUUAUUUUUGUUUUUUUUUUACACAUAUCGCAGCAUUAUACAUUAUAAACUAUAAACUUUUUUUUACUACAAUAAUCAAUAUUUGUACUUACUACAUUUUUUAUGUUGUUUUUGAAUGUGUUUGUAGUUUGUUAUGUGGUUACUUAAAUAUUUUUCUCGUCGAAGAAAGAUGCUCUUGUCUGAUUUGUAUCAUUACGGCCAUUUACGACGUACAUAUUAGUUUUCAUUAUUUAUCUUUUAAUCUUAAUUCAUUUUCAAUUGUUUGCUAAAAUUGUUUAACAAUGUCUACUUAAUAUGAACAUAAAGUCUAACCUACUUCCUGUCCUACACUGGUCUCAUCUCAAGAGAGACGUAAAGUCGAUAUACUCUGGUAGAUGAUAAAAAAAACAUUUGAGCCAUCUAAAUGAAGUUACUGGAGAUAUUAUAUGAUUGUUACUGUAAAUAUGCUUAAAUUAAAAAACAAACAAAAAUGACAUAAAGAUGUUUUGAUUGAAAGCAAACUUUCUGUUUGUAUCUUAAAACAACUUCCAGCACUCUGCUGUACGUGAAAUUCAAGAGUCAUGCUAAACACAAGCACCGUAACAUGAGACGCUCUAGAGAAACGAGUUUGUUGUUUCUGCUACACAGGAUUAACAUAAGAAAGUCUUCAAAACAAAGCGACCGAUGACCAUCUGUUAACAGGAUGCUUCAUUAUGGGUGCGAUGGUUUAAACAGGCUUUUUUGUGCAUAUCUCCUGGGAACACUUGAUCCCCCAAAAGAUCAACCUAUUAGGCACGCAAAACAAUAGUCUUCCUGGUCACUGUGUGACUGACCCGUUACUGAACUGAGAGGUGAAUUUCUUAAUCACUUUCAAGCUUCUCAUCCAUCAAACUAAACAGUGCGAAGUGAUGUGCUUUCUCCAUUGCCGGACGGGCAGAAUGAUGCUGUUCAAAGGGCAGCAAGAAAACAGCGCCAGUGCGGACAACUUUGCAUCCACAGCACAGUGUGUGGACGAUGUAUUCCCUCGCGUGCUGCAGGUUCUCACGAACGCUUUCCAUUGGAGAGAAUCUAUUCGAUUGAUGAUGCACGAAAGGAAGACCCACAAGAAACGACUCUGCGUGCGCAGCGAAACGCGAUCUUUUCGAAUCGUCUUAGCUGCCUCUAAGUUCCGUAGCCUACGGCGAUACGGUGGGAAAAAUGUCCAGAAAUCAAUUUAGUUCAGGGGAUUGCAUCUCUCGGAUGGGACAGACGGGAAUGCUGGUACCAUUAAUAAACAAUAAUCACCGUCACAUGGGAGAACCUCGGUCAUGCAAGAGAAGAGACGAUUUGGAAACCAAACCACCACUACAGGAUCUCGAAAAUCGGGAGUUGCAAUAUUUUAUCUUCCACGGAGACAAAUGAGCUCAACGAAUAGCGUAUCUCAUUCGUCUUGUGCUCAUUGGAGGAUGAGACAUGUUAGGCUUGAGCUUCAAAUUGUGCGGAAUGACGAAUGGAUUCAAAGACAUCGUUGGUAUAGAUCGUUCGUGUUUCUUUUUUUUUUGUUGCUCAAAUCAACUCUAACUGCCGGCGAGACUGCCCAAAUCUAAAUGUUUGGCAAUUGUCUGAAAAUAAAACGGGGAUUCCCUUUUUUAUUUUUAACGCUAACGCUGCGACUCGGUCGGGAGGUUUGAUGAGAUUGGAUGAUUGAUUGUUGAGAACUUACUCACUCUCAUCCAAUGUCUGCGGGUUCCGGAAAGACAUAAACUUCUUUCAUCACUCUUCAGCAAGGUGAAACACGUUGGCCUUGGGACAAAGAAUGUUCCGAGCUUUGGGCACGCGCACUGUAGCUAUCGCCCAACCCAUCGAAAGCGCGACCCAACGACUAUAAAAUAACUGAAAGAUCGUACCACAGGAGACGAUCAUGCUUGGACAUGUCGUCCCCAACGGAUCUAGUCGACGGUGAUGCUUAAAUGAAGGUGACGGGAAAAUGGAGUAAUAAAGAGGGAUGUUCUCAAAGAGUAAGAAAGAGAGUGAAAGAGAUGUACGAUUUAGCAGGAAGUGGUGGAGUAGAUGCUUCCUUUUUGGGUUCUGGCUUACGGGCGUGCUAAGGGACAGGGUCAACGGAGACAACACCGACAACGAUGGAACCGGUUUGCGCUACACUGGAAUACGAAGACGAACCACAUCCGUUGAAAGCGUGGUGAGAUGAUGCCGAUCUGGUAGGAAGUCAGUGUAAUCUUCCUUCGAUGAUCGCUGGCAAGGUGGUUGAGUGGUUCCAUCCGAAAAGCCGUUGCCGAUCAUCGAGCUCAACAGGAAAUGGUACAUUAUGAAAUCGAUUUCGAAUUCUUCAAGGCUCAUUCAAGCCGACGCGAGUGUGGACGAGGUACUGGGUGAAGUGAUCCCUCCAGGGGUAACUGGCCCCGAGGAUUGGAGGGCUUGCGAAGCAAAUUGGUGAUCUCUUUUUUCCACCCCAACGCUCUAAUAGAUACGGAAGAGAAGAAGUUUGCGAAGUUGUUUCGGGAUCCAGAAAUUGUGUGUCUAGGAGUGGGGUCACCCUUUUGCUAGCGACCGGAGACUGGUAGUGGACCUGCCCUUUCGUCUGCCCGAUCCUUACGAUACUGCUCCAGUGGCUGAUUAUACCAAUUAUCUACAGGCCGUAGAACGGGAGCCGUAACUUCACAGAUAAUUAGUAAUUACCCUGUCCGGUGAGCGAACGAUCGUACGAAGGAAGUAAACUUCCAGUACCUUGGGCGUUCGGGGCAACGCUUUUUGGCCCGAAGACCUUAGGCCCGCAGAUCCAUGUCGCGCCUCGGAUCGAUUUUCUACUGGAGUAGACCAUGAAAUUACCCCCGAAAGAACUCGAUUCCGAUUCCCUCUUUACGCUUCCGCACUUUGGUCAAUGUGGUUCGGUGGUUUUGAAAACUUGUUCUGACUGUUACCCGCUACGCUGCUUGUGAAGUGAUGCUCGCUGCUCUUCUCCUUUUCGAAGUGAUGCUGUGCGCACUUUGUGUCUUCACUUUGCGUUUCCAAGCGUACCGUAACCAGCAAACGUAAAGAAGAAAAGAAACGAAAUUGAAAUCAGAAACUAAAUCGAUAGCAGCAGCAGCAGUAUCGCAGCCUCACGGGCAGUGGUAAAUUCUAGCAGGAUAAACCAAAACAGAAGAAUCACCGACUUCGAAUGAACAGGCAGUAAUGGUGUGUAAUUACGAAGAUCCUUUCUGGAAUUGCUGCGACUGAGGCAGUCGCGUCAGUCGGCCAGGCCACGAUGACUUUCCAUUUUCUUCACAACUUCAAAUGGUCGUCGAACGUUCGCUUGACCGAAAGCUGAGAAACUCGCGGGAGUUAAAUUGAAGGCCACUUCUGUCUUGUAGGAUGUGUAGAUCUAGUACCGUCAAAGAACUGGGUGAUUUUUGCGAACACACCAUCGUAUCAUGCACACUGCGCUAUGGUCUUUUGAGACGAAAUUUUGCCUAACCAUGCACGAUCUAUUCUUCAUAAAAGGAGCGAAAGCAUCCAACCAUGUCAAGCAAUCAUCUUUUCGCAUGUUGCAAAAAAAAGGAACAAUUCCAUCCCGGGCUAGCUGAUUGGCGCAGCACUAUUCAAAAAGCUAGCCCCUUCGUAGAGGACACUCGGCGGUUUUGGUUGGUGAACUUACAAAGGAAGGGACACGAUGGUCCAGAAAAAAGUCAUACCUUUCUCACGGCCAACAAAAGGCCACACGGCGUUGCCUGAGAACGGCUGUCGCGGUUCAUUCCUGGGACCGAACGUUUAAGCGCUAUCUGGUAGUCAAGUAAUGGGAGUGUAUUUGCCGUUAAUUAAGCAAUCGUAACCCGUUGAGACACUUUCACUUGAGCUGUUUAACCCUAUGCUUUGAUUCCAUAAGUUCAAGAAAAAAAACCCUAUGCGAUGAUUCCAUGAGUUUAAGACGUCUAAAUAACAUACAGCUUGGGUAUGACGCUUUUGCUUGAAUGUAGCUAAACCAGUUGAAAUUUAUCGCUUAUAACUAUAUUAUCAGGAAGGAACAGAUCGCGAAAAGCGAGGCUAAACGAUCGGUUAUGCUACGCCACAGCAACGGUAGUGUUUUCGGUGUAUGACUAAUAGCACAAAGGAUCGAAGUUCAUAGCACCAACACUACAAUAACGGUUGGCACAUAAUAAGCGUGUUGCACCGGUAAAACUUGCACAGGGUGCAACUUAUGACGCAGUAUACGCUACCAACGCAAUGUUCAACCAGACCUGAAACAUGUUGCCGUGAGAUAACCUUUUGCUAGCUGCUGGAAAACUUCGCGCUCCUCCCUCGAGGGUGCGAUGGGUGACUUCCUUCCGUGGCUGUUUAUAAACAGUCGCCAAUAGCCAACUCCACCAGGCUUCAACUAUACACAGUGUCGUUCAUCAACCUUUCUCAGGCCUUCCGUUCCCUCGGGAGGUGGAAACGUUACACCUGACUUAUUGCGAAUCGAAAUGCUUAACCCGUACCCCCGUCACUGGCGGAAUAGAAACCCACUGAACCUUGGUUUGCAGCGUUAUAGAAUAAAUAGACCAGUCCGUGUAGUGUGGUGCAAAUGUCAGUGAACUUCGGUCGCUCGGCACCCCUUUAACCAGUCAGUCGGUGGUAGUUGCGCCUCAAUUCCGGCAUCGGUUUUGCUAGCGUUUGCACAAACCACCAUCAGCGUCAAAAAUGGCUGAAGUUUGCGUGUAGAUUUGUGUUUUAAAUUUACCCUUUUUUUUGCUUACCACUGAGGGAUAGACAGCCACGCUGCAAAAUACACCUGAGUCAGUGGGUAAGAAACUUAACACCUCAAUGCUACAAUUCUUCAAGCUUACAGCGUGGAGAAGGGUUUGGCUGCAAAUGAAUCAAGGGUUGUGUCUAAGUUAGGGAAAGAAACGCCAAGUUAGAAAUAUAGAGCAGCUUGUGUAGCAAGGUUAUUUCUUUGAAAAAAAAUUACAUAUAAAAAUAUAGGUUUUCUCUAUAAACUGCUAGAUUUAGAACGUUACAGCUGAAAGAGUAACAUCAUAUUUUAUUUCAUUAUUAAAAAAAACUAAAUUAAGUCUGUUCCUUUUAUUAUUUACUAUAACACAACAAACUGCAACCACUCACACAAAAGAAAAAGAAAAUAUACAAUCAUGCUCUUUCAGACAAGAAAAAAAAGCUUUAAACUACGAUCGUAAACAAAAGUGCUCAAUAGGUAAAACAACGCCCUAGCUGGUAGAAGGAAAAAAAAACCAAUUCGAAGAUCGAGCAAGAAGCGCAUAUUGUGCGGUUUAAAAAUUGCUGCCCUGCUCGAUCGCGGCUGAAAAUAUUUCACAAGUCAUUCACAUCGUGACCCCGUCAACGGAGGCACCGGGCCAAGGCAUCCUCAUCGAUGGCUCGGAUGUGGUACCACAGCCAAGGGGCAAAGAAUAACGCCCAGCUUCAAUCGAGACCGGGUUCAAGACUAUCCGUAGCGGGAUUGACCCGUGUUGGGGUGCGGUAGGAUAGCGACCGCGACGUAAAGAUUGGUCUGAAAUGUCAAACCGAGAAGAGCCAAAGAAGUGAAAGGCUAUGCCCGUGGUGUUCGUGUACUACAGCGCCAUUCGAAUAGGGCAUGGCCUAAAGGUCUAUGAUUAGAUGGUGGUGCGCUAUUUAGCGAAAAAUUUAUUUCCAUCGAAUCGGGUUGAUCUUUGCAUGUUGCAAACUAGGGGCGUAGGGUGAAGGCAGGAUUUAAAUGAAUUACAAUGGGAACGGACUGUGCAGAAUAUAAAACAGUGAUUUUUGUUUAUAAUUUAUAUGGUUGUAUCAGAUUUCCUAUUUUUGAUAAAUAAGCUUCUUGCACAUGUCCAUGUCCAAGUCUCCAAUCUGGCUGCUGUACGACUAGCGGAAGUAUUUCCGUCGAAUGUUGUUGGCCUAGUUCCGAAACGUUUCCGUUCCUUGGCUGUUAGAUAAAAUUGUUUAUUCGCUCCAUGACUCGCCUGAUCAGCUAGUGGGGGUUGAAGUUCCAUCUGUAGAAUAAAACCGCCAUUCAGUUUAUACCCAUUUGUUUUCCUAUUCUACUUCCCAGAGGAAAUGAAGCCCCGAUCGUAAAUUUUGUGACGAGUUGGACGCUCCUUUUCGAGCUUCUGCUCCAUCGACCGAUAGACCUCGGAACGCUACUUAAAGUGGAAGAAAGAUAUAAACCCAUCUAAUCGUACAAGCACGUACCCUUAUCUGUGGCCGAAAGUCUAAUCAAAUAGAACGACCUACAACGAUAGAAAGCACUUUCCGACACACCUAGCAUUGGUGUGACCUCACGAGCAGAUUGCAAAUGAAUGCGCUACACGUGAUCGUGAGCCAGGUGAAAGGAUGGCGUACACUGAUGUCUUCUUCGGCACACAAGCGCAUACCACACUCUGCUAGCCCUUAGGGUCAUUGGGCUUCCGCGUAGCAAUUAUCGACUGCUGAGACGACGACUACGAUGACGACGAUGAAGAUAGUCCCAUCGGUGUCUUGACACGGUGAGUAGCACUGUCACGUUUGGGUCGAAAAAAACAACGGAAGAGAUCCUCUAUAUCCCGACACGAUCUGGAGCACGCGGCUCAUCGCUUCUCACGGUGUGCGACUUCAUUGUCGCACUCGAAACCGAUCCCUACGCUUCGAAAUUGCCUUAUGCUCAGUUGCAUUCCACGGCUUCCUGCAACCCAAAACGAACCACCCGUACCAAGAUCUGGACAGAAUCUUUAGAAUGCCACGAUCGUUAAAGGGCGACCGAGUGCAACUCGCGUGAAAUGCUUCGAGAUCCCUUUUUCUUUUCCAUCGCCAGAAAACGGCUGAGCUGUUGUGCUUAGCAAACAAGACGCCCGACUGGACUGUGCGGUAAGUUGAACGAAAUGAUGCAGCAUGCAAAGUGAAGCCCAACGUGCCCGUCCAAUGUUGAAGGCAAGAUCAAAGUGUCUGACAGUGAGUCGAGCGUACUAAUUCCUGUCCGGUUCGGUUUCAGCCAUGGGAAAAUCACAUCUAAUGACCCCACGCUGUCCUAGACGAUGUGACCAGGUUGGGAAGACUUAUUUUCUUCCGCCUGGAUGCCGAUUGCAUGUCAAAACAAGCAGCGAAUUGUCAAAGAAAAUUACCACUCCAAUUUCUGCCCUUCAGUGUCUUUCUGCCUACGUUAUGUUCCGGAUCGAAAAGGAGACCAGUUCGACUUGGGCCCUGCAAAUGUGCGACAGGAAAUAACCCACAAGCAAGAACGAUCUAUCAUUGGUUCGGCUUAUUCGUCGAUAAAUCUUCUCAACCGAUUAUGCUGUGGUUAAUCGGUUUGGGUACUUUUGGGUACCCACAGGGUUUCCUAAACAAAUCGCCGGUGGUCUUGCGAGCCGGAAGAGAAUAGCUGAGAAGGAUAUGGACGAUACCGUUGGUUGUGCGUUUCGUUCGGUGAGAGUUUGUGUCGCUUUGAGAGCAGGCUAAUCCAAUGACAUGGUUAUUUUUUCCCCCUUCAUUCUAAUACGCUCAGUGUAACCCGCCCGGAACAUGCCGAACAAUGUCUAGACUUCAAACAAAAUACAUCGUCAGUAAACGAGUAGUUUCAUUCUUUCCGUCAUUUCCUGUGGAUGUGGUUUGUAAGCUCACUUUGAAAGCCUUUGAUUACUGCCGGUGAUCAUUAGCGAUCGUCACAACGUCGGUCGAUGUUGAGAAAAGCUGUUUGUUACGUGGAUUUUGGAGAUCGAAAGCUUGCCAGCUAUGAAUAGCUAUGAAAUAGCAUUGAAAACCCCUUCUUAAUCUAUGAACGGUAAUGGUUUGUAUCUACUACCUGUUAGGAAGUUUUGCUUUAUGUGUAAAACCGUAUGGAAUUUAAUUAAUUAUUAAUGGGUUUUUGGGGGAAUUGAUCAAAACGCUUCUCUAUAUGAAAGGGUAUUAAGAUUGUAUAAUAUACAUUAUGAUGGUUUGAUGAGUGUCUGAGAGUGAAUUAAAAGAUGUUUAGAAAAUUUGCUCAAACAUCCUAUUUGCGAUCAUAGAUUUCAUCAUUCCAUCAUCUACUGGUGCUAUAUUGCUUUGAUGGGAGCAAUCUUUAUUAAUUAUCCACUAUAACUUUGGAUCUUAAUGCUAGGUUAAAUUCGCAUACCAGGAAGAUUCUCUGUGAUACUCUACACAUAAGCAACUCAUUGCCCAAAAAAAAGCUUCACCCUGGACAAAGUGGAAGAAAGAAACGGGAAUAAAACAACAACUAAAGUCAAAGUUCGCAAGAAACCGCAAGAACCUCUGUCCAAAGUGCCAUGUCACGAAUUUAAACUCAACCAACGGCCAUCCGCACUAAAUCAAUCCACCGCACCGCUUGAUUCACAUUCACUCACGCGCGUGGCCCAUUCGCAACGUGAGCGGUAGAGUAUCAUCUUCCUGUUGGUAUCAUCACCGGAGAGUGGGAAAGAAUUUACCAAUGGAUUCCAGUUCUUGGAACAUUUAAGUGUUAAGUAAGGCCGGUCGCGGGGCAUACAUGUACAAGCGAAACGGGUCACGAGAUUUACAGCGAAAGGCUAUCAGCAUCACCUGGUGUACACGGUUGACGGAAACGAAUGAUUGAAAGUGGUCGUCGACUCAUCUCACCACGAAACUGUAAAUUAUCGUUCUAAUCUGUGACAAGAUAAGCACCUAAAUCUUUCACCUUGCAGCCGACACCUCGGUUGACGGUUUCGAUUCACGCUUUCAGUGCGCGACCAAUCUAGGCGAUGGGCCAAUUGUCACGUCGUCGAAGCACCGCGGGAUGUCUUUAGUUGAAUUUAAUGUGAUUGUUACCGUCGUGGCACGGUGAGAAAAUGUGGGAGAACAUUUUUCAUGCCCGCUUUCAGUUCAGCCCGUUUGGGUUUCGUUCGGGCUUCGCAUCCACCGAACCGGGAACGCUGGGCACGCGCGUCCUCUUGAGCGUCUUUGCACCGACGGAGGCACGCCAUUGAUGUUCGGUUAAAUUAGCAUAAUAUUUCUAUCGUCGUUUGCCGCACCUUCUGAUCGACUGUAAGAGCCUUGCCUAGUGGGUGAAGCCAUCACCGUUGUCGAAUAAUCCCAUAAGGAAAAUAUCAACAUGACACACUCGUUUAGCGGUUGAAUGAAAAGUGCGGUAACUGAUAUACUUUUUAUCACCUUUUCUACUUAGCAGGGGGCCAGGGAAUAGGUUUUUUGGUGUUAUGAAAAACACAAACAAAUAUUUCAACUCGUAAGGGAUACUCUUUUUGUUUGACUUCCUGUUUUGUUUGGUCAUUUUUUUGAUUGAUGAUCCAUUUGAAUUUUUAAACAGUUUUG
Anopheles funestus (African malaria mosquito) is the source of this 15289-nucleotide long non-coding RNA. RefSeq lists it as uncharacterized. The transcript has 3 exons. The record is from RefSeq and is a predicted model, not a curated record. Lineage: Eukaryota; Metazoa; Arthropoda; Insecta; Diptera; Culicidae.